Molecule: ribosomal RNA, 456 nt
Filed under: uncultured bacterium
Lineage: Bacteria
Description: bacterial SSU rRNA
Rfam family: Bacterial small subunit ribosomal RNA
Source: RNAcentral
UACGGGAGGCAGCAGUGGGGAAUAUUGCACAAUGGGCGCAAGCCUGACGCAGCCAUGCCGCGUGUAUGAAGAAGGCCUUCGGGUUGUAAAGUACUUUCAGCGGGGAGGAAGGCGAUGUGGUUAAUAACCGCGUCGAUUGACGUUACCCGCAGAAGAAGCACCGGCUAACUCCGUGCCAGCAGCCGCGGUAAUACGGAGGGUGCAAGCGUUAAUCGGAAUUACUGGGCGUAAAGCGCACGCAGGCGGUCUGUUAAGUCAGAUGUGAAAUCCCCGGGCUUAACCUGGGAACUGCAUUUUGAAACUGGCAGGCUUGAGUCUCGUAGAGGGGGUAGAAUUCCAGGUGUAGCGGUGAAAUGCGUAGAGAUCUGGAGGAAUACCGGUGGCGAAGGCGGCCCCUGGGACGAAGACUGACGCUCAGGGUGCGAAAGCGUGGGGAGCAAACAGGGAUUAGAUACC